This 99-nucleotide signal recognition particle RNA is filed under the name Deltaproteobacteria bacterium. RNAcentral describes it as "signal recognition particle sRNA small type". It matches the Rfam family "Bacterial small signal recognition particle RNA". From Rfam's summary of the family: The signal recognition particle (SRP) is a universally conserved ribonucleoprotein involved in the co-translational targeting of proteins to membranes. Archaeal SRP consists of a 7S RNA and homologues of the eukaryotic SRP19 and SRP54 proteins. In most bacteria, the SRP consists of a 4.5S RNA and the Ffh protein (a homologue of the eukaryotic SRP54 protein). The record is from RNAcentral. Lineage: Bacteria; Pseudomonadati; Myxococcota; Myxococcia.
UGCCAGGCCCUGUGAACGUGGACGUUACGAACCCCGUCAGGUUCGGAAGAAAGCAGCGGUAAGUGACGGAUCCGCGUGCCACAGGUAAGCCUGGCGGGA